GACCGGGAUGGACUUACCGCUGGUGUACCAGUUGUCUCGCCAGAGGCAUCGCUGGGUAGCUAUGUAGGGAAGGGAUAAACGCUGAAAGCAUCUAAGUGUGAAGCCCACCUCAAGAUGAGAUUUCCCAUUUCUUUAAGAAAGUAAGAUCCCUGAGAGAUGAUCAGGUAGAUAGGUCAGAAGUGGAAGGCCAGUGAUGGUUGGAGCGGACUGAUACUAAUCGAUCGAGGACUUAACCAAAAA
This 240-nucleotide ribosomal RNA is filed under the name Escherichia coli. Its description in RNAcentral is "partial 23S ribosomal RNA". It matches the Rfam family "Bacterial large subunit ribosomal RNA", at positions 2690 to 2925 of the family's 2925-position model. The record is from RNAcentral. Lineage: Bacteria; Pseudomonadati; Pseudomonadota; Gammaproteobacteria; Enterobacterales; Enterobacteriaceae.